UGCAGUCAUGUCUACACAUUUGCUGUCUACUGUAGCUGGACACAGUAGAACAUCUAGGCUUAGCCUAAUAUUGCCCCAGAGCUCUCUGCCAGUGUAUUCACUGCUCUGGGUCAUAGAGGACGAGUUAGGCCAGAGAUUGCACUGUCUUACUGUCUCCUCCACAGUUACCCUAUUUAUUUUAAAGGGGACAACCCACUGUUAGAAAUUAACAUGAUCCUUAUCAUCUAGAUGUAGAGUUAUGCCACCGUCGUUUGGUGCACACCAUGAAUGACUUACAAACAAAGCUAGGGGGGCUGAACGAGGAUGACAGAACGUAUCCCAACCCAUUGUAAUUAUAUUACGUAUCAAUGUAGUUAUCCAGCUACCAAACCAGGCUAUAUAGUCCGGGGUUUGUAAACAUGCUCCAGUGCAUUGCAUCAUACCCGGUGAUGGAGCUUUUUAGGUGCAUCGCUGAGCGAAGGGAGACGUGUCCAAACAUAGUUUCAGCCCGCAGCAAAUAAGACAGCCUAUUCCUCCCCUCGUUGAGGUCAUUGCUCCAUGAGACAUCAACAUUCAACCUAGGAGGUUACUCCCAUCUAACUCGCAGUUGAUAUAUCCCCUCAGAGAAGAGGGAAACAUCAUACUCCGGACAAAGUUGUAAACAACAGAUUCUCUGACCAACAGUUUCAUCUACAAGGACUUCAAUCAAAACGUUAGACAAACGUAAUUCCUGAGCCUUUCUUUGGCCCCAUUAGUAACUCACUGCACUCAGCCGCCCCAUUAGAACGCAUUGCACUUAGACAUAGACAUGUUAGAAAACAUCCAGUUGUCCUAGUAUUUGAUUUUGAUGAUGAUGUAACCAUGCCAGCUUGCACAUCUUUAGAUCAAAAGGAGCCAUCAGAUUCAUUCAGAUAUGUAGAUGCUACUUCCAGAAAAAAUUAAAAUCAAAAUUUAUUGUUUUUUCAAGUACUAAAGGUUACAACACUUAAAUGUUUGGUCAUGACAUUAUAGCUGAAUAAUAGUAGUUAGUUGUCUGAUUAAUGGCCAAUGGAGGCGUUUUCUAUGAAGCUGGAUGUUGUUGCAAGUGGUAGGAUGAGAUUUGUAAAGAUGCAAAACUUUUACCUGUGCUUCUCUUUAUUUGCAAAUCUCAUGAGACACCACAUAUUUCUUCGUACGUGUCUCACAUUCCUAUGAGUCCAUAAUAUUUGGUGGUGGUGGUGGUGUUAUGUCCGCCCUCUGCAGGUAUACACCACGCAUUCUUCUUAUUAAAGAUCAUUCGAUGGGUGAUUGGACAAGUCAGCAUAAAUAUGCAGGUUUGCAGAGCUUUCUGCUGACCACCGUGCUAUUGGAAGCCACUGUGCAUUCCUAUGAGUCCAUAAUAUUUGGUGGUGGUGGUGGUGUUAUGUCCACCCUCUGCAGGUAUGCACCACGCAUUCUUCUUAUUAAAUAUCUUUCGAUUGGUGAUUGGACAAGCCAGCAUAAAUAUGCAGGUUUGCAGAGCUUUCUGCUGACCACCGAGCUACAGGAAGCCACUGUGUGGGGCCCCCUUACACUAAAAGAGGAAAAUUCUAAAAACUAAAUUACUUAAGUAUCCCUCCAUAGGAGUGAGUACUUUUUGUUUUUAUUUUUUUGUUAGAAGUGGAUAUAUAUAUAUAUAUAUAUAUAUAUAUAUAUAUAUAUAUAUAUAUAUAUAUAUAUAUAUAUAUAUAUAUAUAUAUAUAUAUUGGAAUCAAUGUUGACAUGUGUUAAAUUUCUUAAUAUGCUAUAUCAAAAAUUAUAAGUUCGAAAC
RNAcentral lists this long non-coding RNA (1768 nucleotides) under Musa acuminata (dwarf banana). RNAcentral's name for it is "long non-coding RNA (MACU_LNC001844)". Lineage: Eukaryota; Viridiplantae; Streptophyta; Magnoliopsida; Zingiberales; Musaceae. The record is from RNAcentral.